GAUGAAGAACGUAGCGAAACGCGAUAAGUAAUGUGAAUUGCAGAAUCCAGUGAAUCAUCGAAUCUUUGAACGCACAUUGCGCCCGCGAGUAUUCUCGCGGGCAUGCCUGUCCGAGCGUCAUUUCAACCCUCAGGGCCCGCCUGCUUCGGCAGGCGCGGCGCUGGUGUUGGGGAUCGGCCUAACCGCCGUCCCCCAAAUACAGUGGCGGUCUCGCUGCAGCCUCCCCUGCGUAGUAGCAACACUCGCAUGCGGAGCGCGGCGCGGCCACGCCGUAAAACCCCCGACUUUCUGAACGUUGACCUCGGAUCAGGUAGGAAUACCCGCUGAACUUAAGCAUAUCAAUAAGCGGAGGA
RNAcentral lists this unclassified non-coding RNA (353 nucleotides) under soil metagenome. RNAcentral describes it as "partial contains 5.8S ribosomal RNA, internal transcribed spacer 2, and large subunit ribosomal RNA". The stretch from base 1 to 120 matches the Rfam family "5.8S ribosomal RNA", at positions 35 to 154 of the family's 154-position model. The record is from RNAcentral.